This 445-nucleotide ribosomal RNA is filed under the name uncultured bacterium. Its description in RNAcentral is "partial 16S ribosomal RNA". It matches the Rfam family "Bacterial small subunit ribosomal RNA", at positions 354 to 796 of the family's 1533-position model. The record is from RNAcentral.
GUGAGGAAUAUUGCGCAAUGGAGGCAACUCUGACGCAGCCAUGCCGCGUGCAGGAAGAAGGCGCUACGCGUUGUAAACUGCUUUUAACCGGGAAGAAACCCCAGGACGUGUCCUGGGUUGACGGUACCGGAGGAAUAAGCACCGGCUAACUUCGUGCCAGCAGCCGCGGUAAUACGAAGGGUGCAAGCGUUAUCCGGAUUCAUUGGGUUUAAAGGGUGCGUAGGCGGAGCGUUAAGUCAGGGGUGAAAUCCUGCAGCUUAACUGUAGACUUGCCAUUGAUACUGGCGCUCUUGAGUGCGCUUGAAGUGGGCGGAAUGUGCCGUGUAGCGGUGAAAUGCUUAGAUAUGGCACAGAACACCAAUUGCGAAGGCAGCUCACUAAGGCGAUACUGACGCUGAGGCGCGAAAGCGUGGGGAUCGAACAGGAUUAGAUACCCUGGUAGUCC